Molecule: ribosomal RNA, 439 nt
Filed under: uncultured bacterium
Lineage: Bacteria
Description: partial 16S ribosomal RNA
Rfam family: Bacterial small subunit ribosomal RNA
Source: RNAcentral
CUACGGGGUGCUGCAGUGAGGAAUAUUGCACAAUGGGGGGAACCCUGAUGCAGCAACGCCGCGUGGAGGAUGACGCAUUUCGGUGUGUAAACUCCUUUUAUAUGUCAAGAAAAUGACGGUAGCAUAUGAAUAAGCACCGGCUAACUCCGUGCCAGCAGCCGCGGUAAUACGGAGGGUGCAAGCGUUACUCGGAAUCACUGGGCGUAAAGGACGCGUAGGCGGGUUGGAAAGUCAGGUGUGAAAUCCUACAGCUUAACUGUAGAACUGCACUUGAAACUUCUAACCUAGAGUAUGGGAGGGGGAGAUGGAAUUAGUGGUGUAGGGGUAAAAUCCGUAGAUAUCACUAGGAAUACCUAAAGCGAAGGCGAUCUCCUGGAACAUUACUGACGCUAAGGCGUGAAAGCGUGGGGAGCAAACAGAAUUAGAUACCCCGGUAGUC